RNAcentral lists this ribosomal RNA (253 nucleotides) under uncultured bacterium. RNAcentral describes it as "partial 16S ribosomal RNA". It matches the Rfam family "Bacterial small subunit ribosomal RNA", at positions 524 to 776 of the family's 1533-position model. The record is from RNAcentral.
UACAGAGGUCCCGAGCGUUGUUCGGAUUUAUUGGGCGUAAAGGGUGCGUAGGCGGCGGAGUAAGUUGGGUGUGAAAUCCCGGGGCUCAACCUCGGAAUGGCAUUCAAUACUGCUUCGCUAGAGUACUGGAGAGGAGGCUGGAAUUUACGGUGUAGCAGUGAAAUGCGUAGAUAUCGUAAGGAAGGCCGGUGGCGAAAGCGACUUCCUGGACCAAUACUGACGCUCAUGUGCGAAAGCGUGGGGAGCAAACAGG